This 492-nucleotide ribosomal RNA is filed under the name uncultured bacterium. Its description in RNAcentral is "partial 16S ribosomal RNA". It matches the Rfam family "Bacterial small subunit ribosomal RNA", at positions 29 to 507 of the family's 1533-position model. The record is from RNAcentral.
AGUGAACGCUGGCGGUAGGCCUAACACAUGCAAGUCGAACGGCAGCACAGUAAGAGCUUGCUCUUACUGGUGGCGAGUGGCGGACGGGUGAGGAAUACAUCGGAAUCUACUUUUUCGUGGGGGAUAACGUAGGGAAACUUACGCUAAUACCGCAUACGACCUACGGGUGAAAGCAGGGGAUCUUCGGACCUUGCGCGAUUGAAUGAGCCGAUGUCGGAUUAGCUAGUUGGCGGGGUAAAGGCCCACCAAGGCGAAGAUCCGUAGCUGGUCUGAGAGGAUGAUAAGACACACUGGAACUGAGACACGGUCCAGACUCCUACGGGAGGCAGCAGUGGGGAAUAUUGGACAAUGGGCGCAAGCCUGAUCCAGCCAUACCGCGUGGGUGAAGAAGGCCUUCGGGUUGUAAAGCCCUUUUGUUGGGAAAGAAAAGCAGCAGGUUAAUACCCCGCUGUUCUGACGGUACCAAAAGAAUAAGCACCGGCUAACUUCGUG